AUGGAUCGAAAGAGAAACUGGUUCCUUUGAUCUCAAUGUCACUAUCACAAGAUGGAGAACUUAUGGACAUUUUCAUUAGUUUACGAUAUUUACCUUCAAAGUUCCGUUUUCCAGGAAUGGAAAAUAAAGUACUUUCAUAUUGAUCGUAGGUUAUAGGUUGCCAUGCAGAUGAAAGUGCUAGUUUAUUGUAUUUGAUGUUUUACCUUUUAUGUUUGCUUGGAAUUUAUGUAUGAAUUAUCUGCUGGUGUUACAGAUUCCUGCGAGUAGAUGCAUUG
RNAcentral lists this unclassified non-coding RNA (275 nucleotides) under Hevea brasiliensis (rubber tree). Lineage: Eukaryota; Viridiplantae; Streptophyta; Magnoliopsida; Malpighiales; Euphorbiaceae. The record is from RNAcentral.